Molecule: unclassified non-coding RNA, 260 nt
Filed under: Glomus sp.
Lineage: Eukaryota; Fungi; Glomeromycota; Glomeromycetes; Glomerales; Glomeraceae
Description: partial contains 5.8S ribosomal RNA and internal transcribed spacer 2
Rfam family: 5.8S ribosomal RNA (bases 1-65)
Source: RNAcentral
GUGAAUCAUCGAAUCUUUGAACGCAAAUUGCACUCUCUUCGGAGAGUAUGCCUGUUUGAGUGUCAGCCUAAAAAAAAUCGACGUAGUUGCUGUUUCGCGGUGACAUUCGUCUGUAAUUGGAUCAUCUUACACCUUUGGGUUUUUUAAGCAGCUUAAAUUUUUCUUUAUGAUUGCACGAACGUUUCUAAGAUUUUACUUUUUACACACGUUUCAGUUAUUGAUCUUUAUUACAUUUGACCGUUGCUUCGGUACGACUCCCU